GGGGAAUUAGCUCAGUUGGCUAGAGCGUCUGACUGGCAGUCAGAAGGUCGCAGGUUCGAUUCCUGUAUUCUCCA
This 74-nucleotide transfer RNA is filed under the name Salibacteraceae bacterium. Its description in RNAcentral is "tRNA-Ala". It matches the Rfam family "tRNA". From Rfam's summary of the family: Transfer RNA (tRNA) molecules are approximately 80 nucleotides in length. Their secondary structure includes four short double-helical elements and three loops (D, anti-codon, and T loops). The record is from RNAcentral. Lineage: Bacteria; Pseudomonadati; Bacteroidota; Flavobacteriia; Flavobacteriales; Salibacteraceae.